AUUGAACGCUGGCGGCAGGCCUAACACAUGCAAGUCGAGCGAGCGGCGGACGGGUGAGUAAUGUAUGGGGAUCUGCCCGAGAGAGAGGGAGAACUACAGGAAACGGUAACUAAUACCGCAUACUAUCGGAUGUACCCAUGUGGGAUUAGCUAGUAGGUGGGGUAAAGGCUCACCUAGGCGACGAUCUCUAGCUGGUCUGAGAGGAUGAUCAGCCACACUGGAACUGAGACACGGCCCAGACUCCUACGGGAGGCAGCAGUGGGGAAUAUUGGACAAUGGGCGAAAGCCUGAUGCAGCCAUGCCGCGUGUAUGAAGAAGGCCUUCGGGUUGUAAAGUACUUUAAGCGGGGAGGCGUUACCCGCAGAAGAAGCACCGGCUAACUCCGUGCCAGCAGCCGCGGUAAUUC
RNAcentral lists this ribosomal RNA (406 nucleotides) under uncultured bacterium. RNAcentral's name for it is "partial 16S ribosomal RNA". It matches the Rfam family "Bacterial small subunit ribosomal RNA", at positions 30 to 526 of the family's 1533-position model. The record is from RNAcentral.